AGUAAGAAGUCAGAACUUCCUGAAGAAUAGCUUGAUAUUUCAGUGGGGCAUCUGCAAUACAUUUAGGACCUCCAUGAAGGUGAGAGGAAAUUCAGAAGAAAGACCAGAAAUUAUUAACUUUUGAGCAAUCACUAUGCUAGUAACAUCUGUCACGGAUUUGGAUUUAACAUCUGAAGUGACUUGUUGAAGAGCUUACUUUCUGUUUGAAGUGGUGAUCUUGCAGAAAUAGAGAGAAAAGAGGCCGUAGUAAAGAAAGAGUCAGGCAGGCUUUUGUGGAAGAAAUUAAAAUACACCUGCACCCGCAGAGCCAAUACGAAGAAGCCCCUUCGAAGAGUUACACUGGUCAACUUAAAUUAACCUUAUCUCGCAUCAGUUCUUCUAUCUCCCCACCAAUGGUCUAUGCAUUGUAGUUGUUCUUUUAUAUCUGAUAGCGAGUUUAUCAUUAUACUUGUUAUUGGCUUCAAUUUGUGGGUUUUCAAUAUAUUCGUUAUUGGCUUUAAUGCUUUUAUUCUUUUAUAUAUGAUU
This is a long non-coding RNA of Cryptomeria japonica (Japanese cedar), 525 nucleotides long. RefSeq lists it as uncharacterized. Lineage: Eukaryota; Viridiplantae; Streptophyta; Pinopsida; Cupressales; Cupressaceae. The transcript is spliced from 3 exons. The record is from RefSeq and is a predicted model, not a curated record.